UCGGGAAUUUUGGGCAAUGGGCGAAAGCCUGACCCAGCAACGCCGCGUGAAGGAUGAAGUAUUUCGGUAUGUAAACUUCGUAAGAAUAGGAAGAAUAAAUGACGGUACUAUUUGUAAGGUCCGGCUAACUACGUGCCAGCAGCCGCGGUAAUACGUAGGGACCAAGCGUUGUUCGGAUUUACUGGGCGUAAAGGGCGCGUAGGCGGUGUGUCAAGUCAGUUGUGAAAUCUCCGAGCUUAACUCGGAACGGUCAACUGAUACUGUCACACUAGAGUACAGAAGGGGCAAUCGGAAUUCUUGGUGUAGCGGUGAAAUGCGUAGAUAUCAAGAGGAACACCUGAGGCGAAGGCGAGUUGCUAGGCUGACACUGACGCUGAGGUACGAAAGCGUGGGGAGCAAACAGGAUUAGAUACCCUAGUAGUCCCUGAGCGGGCUGGCAAGGCGCAU
RNAcentral lists this ribosomal RNA (447 nucleotides) under uncultured bacterium. RNAcentral's name for it is "bacterial SSU rRNA". It matches the Rfam family "Bacterial small subunit ribosomal RNA", at positions 355 to 825 of the family's 1533-position model. The record is from RNAcentral.